UUGCCUUCUGUGGAGCCGUAGACUUCCCAGAUCCGAAUAGGACCGAAGCGCUGCUGGAAGGUCUCCCACACAUCAGCCCGUAGUCCAUUGCCCAUUGCCAGGCGGACUGUAUGUGUCCGGUCCUCUGGUUGCUACAGGAAUGUCCCCAGAAGGGCCCACGCCGACACUUACUCCCGUGGUCCUGUAGACUGGAGGGAUCCUCAGAAGUGGGCUUACCGAGAUCUAAGCAGCCGAGGAUCCCAACGACAAGUCCCAUCACGUGGUACAGAGGCAGGACCGUGUAAACCACAUCAUCAGCUGUGGCCCCAGAUAAGGACAGCAUCUUGCUCAUCUGCAGUACCCGCUCAUGCGUGAGGAUGGCUGGCUUCGGGAGGCCUUGGGAUGAAGGCAUGGCAAGGGCAGGGUGGUGACAUGACAGCACAGAGAGGGGCCUGACCAGAGGGAUAGAUCUCCAACAGCCAGGCCUACAUUGGGGUUUGAGGCUCUCAGAGAACAGUCAAGUAUAGGGAUUUGUGGUUGGGUUCACAGGCUGAAUUUGGACUGAAAGUAAUAUGUCAAGAUCAAAGGUUUCAGUGGCUGUUUACUGGACACAGGAAGAAUUCUGGCAUUGACCUCUCAAAUUACAUUGGGGGUCAGAGUUCAGGCCAAAUAUCAAAAUCAAGUCUGGGAGCAGUGGCUCACGCCUGUAAUCCCAGCAUUU
This 700-nucleotide long non-coding RNA is filed under the name Homo sapiens (human). Its description in RNAcentral is "HSALNT0263140". Lineage: Eukaryota; Metazoa; Chordata; Mammalia; Primates; Hominidae. The record is from RNAcentral.